GAUGAACGCUGGCGGCGUGCUUAACACAUGCAAGUCGAACGAAGCACCUCUCCCGAAGAUUGACACAGCUUGCUGUAGAUUGAUUCAUUUGAGGUGACUGAGUGGCGGACGGGUGAGUAACGCGUGGGUAACCUGCCUCAUAGAGGGGGACAACAGUUGGAAACGACUGCUAAUACCGCAUAGUAAGAAGAAUUCGCAUGUUUUCUUCUUGAAAGAUUUAUCGCUAUGAGAUGGACCCGCGUCUGAUUAGCUAGUUGGUAAGGUAACGGCUUACCAAGGCGACGAUCAGUAGCCGGCUUGAGAGAGUGAACGGCCACAUUGGGACUGGGACACGGCCCAAACUCCUACGGGAAGCAGCAGUGGGGAAUAUUGCACAAUGGGGGAAACCCUGAUGCAGCGACGCCGCGUGAGUGAAGAAGUAUUUCGGUAUGUAAAGCUCUAUCAGCAGGGAAGAUAAUGACGGUACCUGACUAAGAAGCCCCGGCUAACUACGUG
This 495-nucleotide ribosomal RNA is filed under the name uncultured bacterium. RNAcentral describes it as "partial 16S ribosomal RNA". It matches the Rfam family "Bacterial small subunit ribosomal RNA", at positions 28 to 507 of the family's 1533-position model. The record is from RNAcentral.